GACGAACGCUGGCGGCGUGCUUAACACAUGCAAGUCGAACGGAAAGGCCCUGCUUUUGUGGGGUGCUCGAGUGGCGAACGGGUGAGUAACACGUGAGUAACCUGCCCUUGACUUUGGGAUAACUUCAGGAAACUGGGGCUAAUACCGGAUAGGAGCUCCUGCUGCAUGGUGGGGGUUGGAAAGUUUCGGCGGUUGGGGAUGGACUCGCGGCUUAUCAGCUUGUUGGUGGGGUAGUGGCUUACCAAGGGUUUGACGGGUAGCCGGCCUGAGAGGGUGACCGGCCACAUUGGGACUGAGAUACGGACCAGACGCCUACGGGAGGCAGCAGUGGGGAAUAUUGCACAAUGGGCGGAAGCCUGAUGCAGCAACGCCGCGUGCGGGAUAACGGCCUUCGGGUUGUAAACCGCUUUCGCCUGUGACGAAGCGUGAGUGACGGUAAUGGGUAAAGAAGCACCGGCUAACUACGUG
This 468-nucleotide ribosomal RNA is filed under the name uncultured bacterium. RNAcentral's name for it is "partial 16S ribosomal RNA". It matches the Rfam family "Bacterial small subunit ribosomal RNA", at positions 28 to 507 of the family's 1533-position model. The record is from RNAcentral.